UGGGGAAUAUUGGACAAUGGGCGAAAGCCUGAUCCAGCCAUGCCGCGUGGGUGAAGAAGGCCUUCGGGUUGUAAAGCCCUUUUGUUGGGGAAGAAAUCCUGCUGGCUAAUACCCGGCGGGGAUGACGGUACCCAAAGAAUAAGCACCGGCUAACUUCGUGCCAGCAGCCGCGGUAAUACGAAGGGUGCAAGCGUUACUCGGAAUUACUGGGCGUAAAGCGUGCGUAGGUGGUGGCUUAAGUCCGUUGUGAAAGCCCUGGGCUCAACCUGGGAGGUGCGCUUGAUACUGGAUGGCUGGAGUGUGGGAGAGGAUAGUGGAAUUCCCAGUGUAGAGGUGAAAUUCGUAGAUAUUGGGAAGAACACCAGUGGCGAAGGCGGCUAUCUGGACCACAACUGACGCUGAGGCGCGAAAGCGUGGGGAGCAAACAGGAUUAGAUACCC
This 440-nucleotide ribosomal RNA is filed under the name uncultured bacterium. RNAcentral's name for it is "bacterial SSU rRNA". It matches the Rfam family "Bacterial small subunit ribosomal RNA", at positions 355 to 787 of the family's 1533-position model. The record is from RNAcentral.